UAGGGAAUCUUCCACAAUGGGCGAAAGCCUGAUGGAGCAACGCCGCGUGUGUGAUGAAGGGUUUCGGCUCGUAAAACACUGUUGUAAGAGAAGAAUGACAUUGAGAGUAACUGUUCAAUGUGUGACGGUAUUUAACCAGAAAGUCACGGCUAACUACGUGCCAG
Molecule: ribosomal RNA, 164 nt
Filed under: uncultured bacterium
Lineage: Bacteria
Description: partial 16S rRNA
Rfam family: Bacterial small subunit ribosomal RNA
Source: RNAcentral